AUCCUUUUGUGGUUCAUAAGCAUGAUGAUUGGGUUUUCAUGCUGUGUGAGGUGUGCCUCCCUCAGACCUUGUUAUGACAUUAGUAUAUUACCUGUCUGACA
Molecule: small nucleolar RNA, 101 nt
Organism: Homo sapiens (human)
Lineage: Eukaryota; Metazoa; Chordata; Mammalia; Primates; Hominidae
Rfam family: Small nucleolar RNA U13
Source: Rfam